CUUCUUAGAGAGGACUGAAAUCAGAUCAGCCCCUGGCUGUCUCCUCAUUCAUUCAGCCCCUAGUUCACCAGUUCAGGAACUGGUCUUCACAAUGAAACAAGACCACGCAGCAUUAAAGAGAACCUGUGCUCUCUAGAGUCAUCGUGAUGGUGGCGGCAGCAGUCUGGAAGUGAGAGACCCUGAGGGAGACAGUGACACUCGGGGCUGAAGACAGGGCCACGUGGCAGUUCUCAUCACUGUACUUCCCAUUCCUCCAAAAUCUUCCAAAAUUGAGACCUGGGGCCUGGGUUUUGUUAUUAAAGAUGGUGUUAGUCUGCCUUA
Molecule: long non-coding RNA, 321 nt
Organism: Canis lupus familiaris (dog)
Lineage: Eukaryota; Metazoa; Chordata; Mammalia; Carnivora; Canidae
Exons: 2
Source: RefSeq, a predicted model, not a curated record